UACGAAGGGAGCUAGCGUUGUUCGGAAUCACUGGGCGUAAAGCGCACGUAGGCGGAUUUGUCAGUCAGGGGUGAAAUCCCGGGGCUCAACCUCGGAACUGCCUUUGAUACAGCAAGUCUUGAGUUCGAGAGAGGUGGGUGGAAUUCCUAGUGUAGAGGUGAAAUUCGCAGAUAUCGGGAGGAACACCAAUUGCGAAGGCAGCUCGCUGGGACGGUACUGACGCUGAGGCGCGAAAGCGUGGGGAGCAAACAGG
RNAcentral lists this ribosomal RNA (253 nucleotides) under uncultured bacterium. Its description in RNAcentral is "partial 16S ribosomal RNA". It matches the Rfam family "Bacterial small subunit ribosomal RNA", at positions 524 to 776 of the family's 1533-position model. The record is from RNAcentral.